Molecule: small nuclear RNA, 161 nt
Organism: Heterocephalus glaber (naked mole-rat)
Lineage: Eukaryota; Metazoa; Chordata; Mammalia; Rodentia; Bathyergidae
Gene: U2
Rfam family: U2 spliceosomal RNA
About the family: U2 is a small nuclear RNA (snRNA) component of the spliceosome (involved in pre-mRNA splicing). Complementary binding between U2 snRNA (in an area lying towards the 5' end but 3' to hairpin I) and the branchpoint sequence (BPS) of the intron results the bulging out of an unpaired adenosine, on the BPS, which initiates a nucleophilic attack at the intronic 5' splice site, thus starting the first of two transesterification reactions that mediate splicing.
Source: Ensembl
AUCGCUUCUCGGCCUUUUGGCUAAGAUCAAGUGUAAAAAAUUUUCUUUAUAUUCAUCCCACUAUUAUGAGAUUCAUGGAAUGAUAACGCAAUAUGGAAAGUUCCUCAGUAAGGAAUUUUUAUGAUGGUAAUUGCUCUUUCUGUAAUAAAAAAAAACUGGUU